AGGUAGUGAGAUCUCACAAUGAUUGCUUACAGUCAAUUACUGGUAGACCUAUUUGUCUACCCUCCCUCACUGCUGCAC
This 78-nucleotide small RNA is filed under the name Echinops telfairi (small Madagascar hedgehog). RNAcentral describes it as "Y RNA (ENSETEG00000025956.1)". The record is from RNAcentral. Lineage: Eukaryota; Metazoa; Chordata; Mammalia; Afrosoricida; Tenrecidae.